AACCUGCCUAUAAGACUGGGAUAACUUCGGAAACCGGAGCUAAUACCGGAUACGUUCUUUUCUCGCAUGAGAGAAGAUGGAAAGACGGUUUACGCUGUCACUUAUAGAUGGGCCCGCGGCGCAUUAGCUAGUUGGUGAGGUAAUGGCUCACCAAGGCGACGAUGCGUAGCCGACCUGAGAGGGUGAUCGGCCACACUGGGACUGAGACACGGCCCAGACUUCUACGGGAGGCAGCAGUAGGGAAUCUUCCGCAAUGGACGAAAGUCUGACGGAGCAACGCCGCGUGAACGAAGAAGGCUUCGGGUCGUAAAGUUCUGUUGUUAGGGAAGAACAAGUACCAGAGUAACUGCUGGUACCUUGACGGUACCUAACCAGAAAGCCACGGCUAACUACGUGCCAGCAGCCGCGGUAAUACGUAGGUGGCAAGCGUUGUCCGGAAUUAUUGGGCGUAAAGCGCGCGCAGGUGGUUCCUUAAGUCUGAUGUGAAAGCCCACGGCUCAACCGUGGAGGGUCAUUGGAAACUGGGGAACUUGAGUGCAGAAGAGGAAAGUGGAAUUCCAAGUGUAGCGGUGAAAUGCGUAGAGAUUUGGAGGAACACCAGUGGCGAAGGCGACUUUCUGGUCUGUAACUGACACUGAGGCGCGAAAGCGUGGGGAGCAAACAGGAUUAGAUACCCUGGUAGUCCACGCCGUAAACGAUGAGUGCUAAGUGUUAGAGGGUUUCCGCCCUUUAGUGCUGCAUAACGCAUU
RNAcentral lists this ribosomal RNA (749 nucleotides) under Bacillus sp. N5II. RNAcentral describes it as "bacterial SSU rRNA". It matches the Rfam family "Bacterial small subunit ribosomal RNA", at positions 123 to 861 of the family's 1533-position model. The record is from RNAcentral. Lineage: Bacteria; Bacillati; Bacillota; Bacilli; Caryophanales; Bacillaceae.